CCUACGGGUGGCAGCAGCAAGGAAUCUUCCGCAAUGGGGGCAACCCUGACGGAGCAACGCCGCGUGGGGGAUGAGGCGCUUCGGCGCGUAAACCCCUUUUCGGCGGGAAGAAGGCGGCCGCAAGGCCGCUUGACGGUACCGCCGGAAGAAGGACCGGCUAACUACGUGCCAGCAGCCGCGGUAAUACGUAGGGUCCGAGCGUUGUCCGGAGUUACUGGGCGUAAAGGGCGCGCAGGCGGCGGUGCUGGCCCGGCGUGAAAGCCCCCGGCUCAACCGGGGAGGGUCGUCGGGGACCGCACCGCUUGAGGGCGGUAGGGGCUGGUGGAAUGCCGGGUGUAGUGGUGAAAUGCGUAGAGAUCCGGCGGAACACCUGGGGCGAAGGCGGCCAGCUGGGCCGUCCCUGACGCUGAGGCGCGAAGGCGUGGGGAGCGAACGGGAUU
This 440-nucleotide ribosomal RNA is filed under the name uncultured bacterium. RNAcentral's name for it is "bacterial SSU rRNA". It matches the Rfam family "Bacterial small subunit ribosomal RNA", at positions 338 to 779 of the family's 1533-position model. The record is from RNAcentral.